GGAAUCUUUCACAAUGGGCGAAAGCCUGAUGGAGCAACGCCGCGUGCAGGAUGAAGGCCUUCGGGUUGUAAACUGCUUUUAAAACUGAGGAAUAUGACGGUAAGUUUUGAAUAAGGAUCGGCUAACUACGUGCCAGCAGCCGCGGUCAUACGUAGGAUCCGAGCAUUAUCCGGAGUGACUGGGUGUAAAGAGUUGCGUAGGUGGCAUGGUAAGUAGAUAGUGAAAUCUGGUGGCUCAACCAUUCAGACUAUUAUCUAAACUGCCAAGCUCGAGACCGUUAGGGGUAACUGGAAUUUCUAGUGUAGGAGUGAAAUCCGUAGAUAUUAGAAGGAACACCGAUAGCGUAGGCAGGUUACUGGGACGGUUCUGACACUAAGGCACGAAAGCGUAGGGAGCAAACG
This 401-nucleotide ribosomal RNA is filed under the name uncultured Candidatus Saccharibacteria bacterium. Its description in RNAcentral is "bacterial SSU rRNA". It matches the Rfam family "Bacterial small subunit ribosomal RNA", at positions 358 to 774 of the family's 1533-position model. The record is from RNAcentral. Lineage: Bacteria; Candidatus Saccharimonadota.